Molecule: long non-coding RNA, 746 nt
Organism: Lampris incognitus (smalleye Pacific opah)
Lineage: Eukaryota; Metazoa; Chordata; Actinopteri; Lampriformes; Lampridae
Exons: 4
Source: RefSeq, a predicted model, not a curated record
CGAAACUCGCCGUUUAACGUACCCUCAAACCGCACAGGCAGACAUUAAACAGCUAUCCACGAGUUCUUCUGAUUCUAUAGCAGUAGGAGGCAGGCAGCCACCAACUCCACCACCAUCAGAAUUAAGAGUAGGACGAAGAACUGUGAAGACAGGGUGGAUAUUUCAAUCAAUCAGAUCUUACUUUAUUCAGACAGAAAGAUGAAGACCUACCAUGAUGAGGAAACAGCGGUUUUCCUUCAGAGCCCCCAAGAAGCCCAUGAACGACACACAAGUGAUGAUGAUGCCGCAAAUCAACAGCAUGUUUGACAUGUUGAGUUUCGCAAAGGUGGGGACGUGCUGUGAUGCGUGAAAAGACAAGAGGCUGUUCUCACUUCUUUGUUUCUGAACACAGUACGGAAGCUAACUGAAAAAGAACAUUGGGGGACAAACGCAAAUAGUAACGAAGAAAAAAAUGAGACAAAGAGACAUGUCUGUGACAGUGUUGCUUUAUUUAAGGUUUAGUCAUGUUGGAAACUUACAGUGGAAACCAUGAAUAUAUGGUAAAACCUAUCGCUAAAACACUAAUAGCUAUUUACACCAUUUUGAUAUUGUUCAUAUAUAUAUAUAUGUGUGUGUGUGUUUAAAACAUAUAUGCUUUUUGAUAUUGCUCAUAUAACUGAAAAUAGAGCAGAGAUUACUUCCUUGUAAUAUUAAAGUCCUUGACUGAGAAUGAAGACUCAUGUCAACAUUAAAGAAGUACAAAUACA